AACGAACCUGAGGUGUCAUAAUUGCUCUGCCUCUAGAUUCAGCAGAUUGCACAAUGCAUUAGAAAAGCAUAACCAGCAAUAAGGCUGCAGGGUCUGUUGUCCCCUUUGCCUGUGGAAAACCAUACAUGAGACACAUAAAGCCACAUGGGAGAAGGCAACAAGCCAGCAGCUGCAGGGUCCCUGGCAUAUGUCCAGCAUUUCCACCACAGCCUGGACACCACAGGAAGUCACUCAGACCAGCUCUGCCUGAGGUGCUGCGCUGGAAAGUAAGGACUGCACACCAAUAGGAUUCUUCAUCCAUUGCCAUUUAAACUGGAAACAACUGUUGUUCUUUAGUGGGGGGUAAUGUUUGUGGAAUUAUUAGCAGGGGAUGGUGUGAAGUAGAAAGGGCUGAUGGUGACUGGCAUCAGAGCAGUUGGGGCAUGGAUGAGUUUCGGACAUGGCUGCAUGCAUACAAGCAUUCAGAAAAUCCUGCAGGAAUUACUGACAGGUAAAGAGUAUGGCCCAGAGAAGGAGCAAGGGACUUCAGUCACUGGGGAUUAGCGGUUUAGGAGGCAGGCAAGUCCUUCAUGAGAUUGCAAAAAUGUACUGCUAUCAACUCUACAUGUCAACUCCUAAUGAUGUCAGUAGUGGUUUGCUGGCACUCCUGACUGUGUUAUUAAAUGCCUCUCCCCAUCUCAUGGUGACUGGCUUUCAGAAAGUGAUCUUCUGUUUCUAUGACUCCAUUUUUCAGAUAGAAAAUCAGAAAACAGAAUUUCUUCACUCACAAGCUGUCAGGAGAUUUAAAGCAGGGAAACUGCUCAAAAUUAUUAAGUUGUUCAGUAAUUAUGGCACAGUAAUAUCAUAUAUGAAUGAGGUAAAUUUUGUGGCUGAAUAGAUUUGAUAAUAGCAUGAAGGACUAAAUUGCUAUGGUUUUGGAUAGUAGGAAUAACCAUCAUCAUUUUCUUCAUCAAUAUAAUCCCAUACAACCUCACCCAUUGUGUGAUUCUUGUAACUAUUUUUACCUGACAAAUAGUAUUUCUCUUCUAGUAGCUUUUAACAUCUGAGACGAUCCUUUCACUGAUCUUGGCUAGGGGAGAUUUGUCCUUACUGAAAUUCUGACAGGAGAUCAUUCAGCCUCUAGCUGCUUGCUGCAUAUUCUCCUUGAGUUCUCAUGCUUGUUUCCCUUGUGGAACAGGACUGAGGAUCCUUUGAGGACUUAGGGGCUUACUCAGCACUAACCUAAAUGCUUCGUAUCAGUGAAGCUUAAUGUUAAAUAUGUAUCACCAUGCACUAUUCUCACAAAAAUCUUACUGAAACAUUCUUUUAUUACAGUCUGAUUCUUCUGGUUUCACUCCUUGGAACGUACUAUGUUUUAUACUAUAUUACUGUAAUCAAAGCUCAGAUUAACUGAAGAAGAAUAUACAGCCCAGAAGUUACUUCUCUAGACAAUAAUUUCCUUUUCAAUUCAGUAAUAGGUUUUGGAUGCAAUGAAUUUCAUCAGCAGAUUAAUUUUGUUUACCAAAACUGUUUUGUGCUGUUGCAGGUAGAUUGCACUCUAUUAAUAAUACUUUUUCAAAAGGUAAUAUUUAAUGUGGUAUGGUAUAUGAAAGCCUUUGUAUUUUAUAAUCAAACUCCCCAUGGUGAGAAUUUAACUGCAGUGAAACAGAAGACAUCAGUACAAUGUGAAAACUGUUCAUUUGUCCCUUUGACUGGUGAUAUCAAAUUUUACUCCAACAACCAAUAAUAUUAGGGUUUCUCUUUCAUCUUUCCUUCUCUGUGCACUGCCUAGAAAAAAAAAAUCCAUUUACUUAAUGAGCACAAAAUAAAAGUAAAUGUCAUUGCAGCAAUACAUCUGAUUACUAUUAGUUAUAACUUUAUAUAAAUCAUUAAUAUUUUGAUUGAUUUUAUAUUGAUGAGGUGUAUGAUGAGGUAAUGAGCUGGUAGACUUGGAAACAGAGGUUCAUCCAAAGCAUAAAACCUGUUAGCAACAUUCUUCCUAAUACUAAGCUGUAUAUCUAUUGUCCCAAAAUUAAUUUAACACCAAUUAAGUUUCAUUGGAAAACCUAUGCUAAUGGCCGAUUCUGCAGCCUGGUUUAGGAUUUGAUCAUUAGUUGCUUGCACUGAAGUAAUGCUUAGGACUUAAUUUAUGAAAGGACAGCUUGAAAAAUAUACAUAGUGUUAAUUUUAUUUCAUUUUUCUAUUUACGAAAGUAUAGUCCUAAAUUAACUUUAUGGGAUAGGUAGGAGAAGAGGACUUUAACGAGGAGCAAGAAGAGGCACAGGUAGGACUAGUUUAAACAAAGAAGUGGGGGAGGUAGAGACAAUCACAAAGCAGCAGAAAAAGAAAAUCCACAGUUGGCAAUGUUCAAAAGGGCUGCAAAUGCUAGGUCCCAACCUAACAUAUUCUCAACUUUUUUGUAGAUCUGUCUUAAAAUCAGGUGUGAGACAUCAAAAGACAAAUGGUCACAGUGGGAAAUAUGGGCUGUUUUCCUUGGAAAGUGGGAUAUUUCAGCCUUUUAUUCUUUAUUCCUGGCCAGGCUAAAGACUUUUUGAAGGAUCACAGGCUGGAUUCUGGGAAAGAGUUUCUAAGAGGAAGGAAGGAAUGAUCUUUUAUCAUGUGUUGUAAUUGUUUCCUAUAUAUGUCUCAUGAGUCAGACAGAAUAGGAUCAGGUCACUGACACUUGCCACUUGUCACUUGUUUUGCCAUAACAACAAGAAAAACAGAUUUUUGUGGUAGAGGUGAUAGUGACAUGUUAUUUUUAAACUGCUUCAUGCGUUUUCUAAAGUACAGGGGAAAAACUUGUCAUAUUUUUAACAGAGGUUCUUCUGGAUAGACCUACAUUUUAAGCCAUUUGUUUAACAGCCUGUAGUUAAAAAUAUCUUUUAUAUUUCUGUGUCUGGUAAAUGUUAUAAGAGUGUACCGUGGACUCUGAUGGAAGUGGAUAAAACAAUACUAUUGUAUUAUAUUUAAAAUUAAGCAACCCAAUAGUAUAAAAGCUCAUAUUAAAGUUUUUCUCUUUGUCCUGUGAUGUUCUUUCUAUCUAAGUGUAGCUUUCCAAGGAAGAGUGUAGGAUUUGGCCUUGCUGGAAUUGUAUUUUUUGUAAACUUUAUAAUAUCUCACAUGACUCAAGAUUCGCAAAGGUAUAGGGGUGAGUGACAAAACCUUUCUCUUGUACUUCUGAUCAGUUUGUUAGGUUGAUUGAAAGUCAGUGGGUGAUAAGAAGAUUCAGCCUCUAUUUUGAUUGAUGAGUCAGAUGACACAGUUGAGAAAAAGUAGGACACUGUAGCUUAUGCUCCCUCUAAGUGGAUAAAAAUAAAGGACUAAAUUUUCAAAAGAUUCAGGUCACUGAAAUAGGCUUUGGUGUUCAUUAUAACAGGUGCAUGUGGCAACAGUACCCAUGAGCUGUUCCAGACAUUGUUUCAGUGAGGCAAUGAAUAGCACUUGUUAAAAUUUAACACUGCUGAGGCAGAAGGGUUGCCUGGAAAAUGGACCUGUCCAAAUAGCAUGGCUGGGUGGGAGUAUCACAGAUUAUACGGUUUUGCCUGUGUUUCCUCAUUGAGGAGCAGUAAUUCCUGCUGACUUCAUCGAAGUAAUGCAGGCCUUCAGCUACAAACAAUAAAUGCCACGGCUGAGGGCAUCUGGUACAGUGUGUUGGUUUGUGCUGCACUCCCAGAG
This is a long non-coding RNA of Taeniopygia guttata (zebra finch), 3657 nucleotides long. The record is from Ensembl. NCBI's taxonomy places the organism in Eukaryota, Metazoa, Chordata, Aves, Passeriformes, Estrildidae.